UAUAGAUAGAUACACUCACCUCUACUUGAACAUUAACAUUUUCUACUGUGAAAGUUAGAACUCUUUAGAUCAAAGUGUACAUGAUGACAGCAACAUGUAUGGUUGUGGUAUUAUUUGUUGCUACAGUUACAGGUCAGGUGGUUGACAUCGCUUCAAAUUUAGACGCAGCCGGUCGUAACUUUUCCUGCACUGGUGAAGUUGUCACAUACACUUGUAGCGCUCAAGGAACCACCCUGUUUGUACAGUUUCCACCAUUAAUAAAUCAGCAAGCAUUCAUUAGCAGUGAUCCUGUUCCUGAUGUUCAGAUAUUCCCUACUGCUCUGAAUGUUAUUCUGACCCUGACAAGUGGAAUGCCCAAUUUUACUGCAAACCUGCAAAUCAGAGUGACAAGUGAUCCACAGCAGAUGAAUUUUUCUUGUUCUACGGACAUUUAUGGCCCUCAGAACGAUUUUGUACUACCACUACUUCAUGAAGCACAAAUUGAACCACCUCUCACUAUGACAUUCUCUGGAGACACGACAGUAUCAUGGAUCCCUCCUUUGAAUCCCCAGUUUGACAUUAAUUAUUAUAUUGUGAGAAUGUACGUGGAUGGAGUGUUGUACACGACUAGGAGCUCUCGUGAUAAUGGUCUGGACGUUAAGUUACCAUCUGGAGAAAUCACUGCUGAUGUUCGUACUGUUAGCACUUGUGGCAGUGUUAGCGCUGCACAACAGUCAGUGGGAUCAGUCUCAGGAGGAUAUGCAAAUGGAUC
This is a long non-coding RNA of Halichondria panicea, 751 nucleotides long. RefSeq lists it as uncharacterized. NCBI's taxonomy places the organism in Eukaryota, Metazoa, Porifera, Demospongiae, Suberitida, Halichondriidae. The record is from RefSeq and is a predicted model, not a curated record. The transcript has 3 exons.